Neltuma alba is the source of this 435-nucleotide long non-coding RNA. RefSeq lists it as uncharacterized. Lineage: Eukaryota; Viridiplantae; Streptophyta; Magnoliopsida; Fabales; Fabaceae. The transcript has 2 exons. The record is from RefSeq and is a predicted model, not a curated record.
AGACAAAUGAGAAUGAUGGUGAUGGAAAAGAUGGUUCUUUAUCUUCCAAUGAAUUACAUUAUAAAGCACCCGUGGAGCAGCAUGGUGAGCCAGUUAGACAGGGUGUUGAAGUUGUUGAUGAGACUAUUAAACAAGUUAGUGAGGGUGAGCCUGAUAAAUCUGCUGAUGAUCAAGUAAAUAGAGCUUCUAAUCAGAGUUCUAAGGAGGAUCAUGAUGCUCAUCACUAGAGUUGUCAUUUUCAUUGAGAUUAUACCUUUAUGGAGAAGAUUAGGAAGACCCCUAUCUGGAUAUUUUUGUAAAUUCUUCCGUUUGGUGCCAUUAGCUCGGUAGUUAGUAUAUUGGUCAUUUGCUUCUAGCUUUACCAUCACGAACUGAUGCUCAGAAUGUGAAUAUCUUGACUAUGCUAAACAUGUUAGAAGUGAGAAUACCAUGACU